RNAcentral lists this ribosomal RNA (585 nucleotides) under uncultured bacterium. RNAcentral describes it as "partial 16S ribosomal RNA". It matches the Rfam family "Bacterial small subunit ribosomal RNA", at positions 355 to 1375 of the family's 1533-position model. The record is from RNAcentral.
UGGGGAAUUUUGGACAAUGGGCGAAAGCCUGAUCCAGCAAUGCCGCGUGUGUGAAGAAGGCCUUCGGGUUGUAAAGCACUUUUGUCCGGAAAGAAAUCCUUGGCUCUAAUACAGUCGGGGGAUGACGGUACCGGAAGAAUAAGCACCGGCUAACUACGUGCCAGCAGCCGCGGUAAUACGUAGGGUGCAAGCGUUAAUCGGAAUUACUGGGCGUAAAGCGUGCGCAGGCGGUUUGCUAAGACCGAUGUGAAAUCCCCGGGCUCAACCUGGGAACUGCAUUGGUGACUGGCAGGCUAGAGUAUGGCAGAGGGGGGUAGAAUUCCACGUGUAGCAGUGAAAUGCGCAGAGAUGUGGAGGAAUACCGAUGGCGAAGGCAGCCCCCUGGGCCAAUACUGACGCUCAUGCACGAAAGCGUGGGGAGCAAACAGGAUUAGAUACCCUGGCAGUCCACGCCCUAAACGAUGUCAACUAGUUGUUGGGGAUUCAUUUCCUUAGUAACGUAGCUAACGCGUGAAGUUGACCGCCUGGGGAGUACGGUCGCAAGAUUAAAACUCAAAUGAAUUGACGGGGUCAUAGCUGUUUCCU